UGGGGUGUAGCCAAGCGGUAAGGCAAAAGACUUUGACUCUUUGACGCGUUAGUUCGAAUCUAACCACCCCAGCCA
This 75-nucleotide transfer RNA is filed under the name bacterium. Its description in RNAcentral is "tRNA-Gln". It matches the Rfam family "tRNA". From Rfam's summary of the family: Transfer RNA (tRNA) molecules are approximately 80 nucleotides in length. The record is from RNAcentral.